GAUGAACGCUGGCGGCGUGCCUAAUACAUGCAAGUCGAGCGAACAGACGAGGAUCUUGCUCCUCUGACGUUAGCGGCGGACGGGUGAGUAACACGUGGAUAACCUACCUAUAAGACUGGGAUAACUUCGGGAAACCGGAGCUAAUACCGGAUAAUAUAUUGAACCGCAUGGUUCAAUAGUGAAAGACGGUUUUGCUGUCACUUAUAGAUGGAUCCGCGCCGCAUUAGCUAGUUGGUAAGGUAACGGCUUACCAAGGCAACGAUGCGUAGCCGACCUGAGAGGGGGAUCGGCCGCACUAGAGGGGGAACGCGGUCCAGGGUCCUAAGGGAGGCCGCAGUAGGGAAUCGUCCGCAGUGGGCGAAAGCAUGACGGAGCAACGCCGCGUGAGUGGUGAAGGUCUUCGGAUCGGAAAAAUCUGUUAUUAGGGAAGAACAAAUGUGUAAGUAACUAUGCACGUCUUGACGGUACCUAAUCAGAAAGCCACGGCUAACUACGUG
This 497-nucleotide ribosomal RNA is filed under the name uncultured bacterium. RNAcentral describes it as "partial 16S ribosomal RNA". It matches the Rfam family "Bacterial small subunit ribosomal RNA", at positions 28 to 507 of the family's 1533-position model. The record is from RNAcentral.